CAAAUUGAGAGUUUGAUCCUGGCUCAGGAUGAACGCUGGCGGCGUGCCUAAUACAUGCAAGUCGAACGCUUUGUGGUUCAACUGAUUUGAAGAGCUUGCUCAGAUAUGACGAUGAACAUUGCAAAGAGUGGCGAACGGGUGAGUAACACGUGGGAAACCUACCUCUUAGCAGGGGAUAACAUUUGGAAACAGAUGCUAAUACCGUAUAACAAUGACAACCGCAUGGUUGUUAUUUAAAAGAUGGUUCUGCUAUCACUAAGAGAUGGUCCCGCGGUGCAUUAGCUAGUUGGUAAGGUAAUGGCUUACCAAGGCGAUGAUGCAUAGCCGAGUUGAGAGACUGAUCGGCCACAAUGGGACUGAGACACGGCCCAUACUCCUACGGGAGGCAGCAGUAGGGAAUCUUCCACAAUGGGCGAAAGCCUGAUGGAGCAACGCCGCGUGUGUGAUGAAGGGUUUCGGCUCGUAAAACACUGUUGUAAGAGAAGAAUGACAUUGAGAGUAACUGUUCAAUGUGUGACGGUAUCUUACCAGAAAGGAACGGCUAAAUACGUGCCAGCAGCCGCGGUAAUACGUAUGUUCCAAGCGUUAUCCGGAUUUAUUGGGCGUAAAGCGAGCGCAGACGGUUAUUUAAGUCUGAAGUGAAAGCCCUCAGCUCAACUGAGGAAUUGCUUUGGAAACUGGAUGACUUGAGUGCAGUAGAGGAAAGUGGAACUCCAUGUGUAGCGGUGAAAUGCGUAGAUAUAUGGAAGAACACCAGUGGCGAAGGCGGCUUUCUGGACUGUAACUGACGUUGAGGCUCGAAAGUGUGGGUAGCAAACAGGAUUAGAUACCCUGGUAGUCCACACCGUAAACGAUGAGUGCUAGGUGUUUGAGGGUUUCCGCCCUUAAGUGCCGCAGCUAACGCAUUAAGCACUCCGCCUGGGGAGUACGACCGCAAGGUUGAAACUCAAAGGAAUUGACGGGGACCCGCACAAGCGGUGGAGCAUGUGGUUUAAUUCGAAGCAACGCGAAGAACCUUACCAGGUCUUGACAUCCCUUGACAACUCCAGAGAUGGAGCGUUCCCUUCGGGGACAAGGUGACAGGUGGUGCAUGGUUGUCGUCAGCUCGUGUCGUGAGAUGUUGGGUUAAGUCCCGCAACGAGCGCAACCCUUAUUACUAGUUGCCAGCAUUCAGUUGGGCACUCUAGUGAGACUGCCGGUGACAAACCGGAGGAAGGUGGGGAUGACGUCAAAUCAUCAUGCCCCUUAUGACCUGGGCUACACACGUGCUACAAUGGCGUAUACAACGAGUUGCCAACCCGCGAGGGUGAGCUAAUCUCUUAAAGUACGUCUCAGUUCGGAUUGUAGGCUGCAACUCGCCUACAUGAAGUCGGAAUCGCUAGUAAUCGCGGAUCAGCACGCCGCGGUGAAUACGUUCCCGGGUCUUGUACACACCGCCCGUCACACCAUGAGAGUUUGUAACACCCAAAGCCGGUGGGGUAACCUUCGGGAGCCAGCCGUCUAAGGUGGGACAGAUGAUUAGGGUGAAGUCGUAACAAGGUAGCCGUAGGAGAACCUGCGGCUGGAUCACCUCCUUUCUAAGGAA
RNAcentral lists this ribosomal RNA (1585 nucleotides) under Weissella confusa. RNAcentral's name for it is "bacterial SSU rRNA". It matches the Rfam family "Bacterial small subunit ribosomal RNA". Lineage: Bacteria; Bacillati; Bacillota; Bacilli; Lactobacillales; Lactobacillaceae. The record is from RNAcentral.